RNAcentral lists this ribosomal RNA (292 nucleotides) under uncultured bacterium. RNAcentral describes it as "partial 16S ribosomal RNA". It matches the Rfam family "Bacterial small subunit ribosomal RNA", at positions 505 to 796 of the family's 1533-position model. The record is from RNAcentral.
GUGCCAGCAGCCGCGGUAAUACGAGAGGCCCAAACGUUAUUCGGAAUUACUGGGCUUAAAGAGUUCGUAGGCGGCGCGGAAAGUAGGGUGUGAAAGCCCUCGGCUUAACCGAGGAAUUGCGCUCUAAACUACCGUGCUUGAGGAACCUAGAGGUGAGCAGAACUGAUGGUGGAGCGGUGAAAUGCGUUGAUAUCAUCAGGAAUACCGGAGGCGAAGGCGGCUCACUGGGGGUUUUCUGACGCUGAGGAACGAAAGCCAGGGUAGCGAACGGGAUUAGAUACCCCAGUAGUCC